This 477-nucleotide ribosomal RNA is filed under the name uncultured bacterium. RNAcentral's name for it is "partial 16S ribosomal RNA". It matches the Rfam family "Bacterial small subunit ribosomal RNA", at positions 28 to 507 of the family's 1533-position model. The record is from RNAcentral.
GAUUAACGCUGGCGGCGUGCAUAACACAUGCAAGUCGAACGAUGAAACUUAACUGAUUUCUUCGGAAUGAUUUUAAGUGGAUUAGUGGCGGACGGGUGAGUAACGCGUGAGUAACCUGCCUUGGAGAAGGGGAUAGCCUUUGGAAACGAAGAAUAAUACCCUAUGAUAUGAUAAUAUCUCAUGAUAUUAUCAUCAAAGAUUUAUCGCUCUAAGAUGGACUUGCUUCUGAUUAGUUAGUUGGUGAGGUAACCGCUCACCAAGGCAGCGAUCAGUAACCGGAUUGAGGUCGCGUACCGCAACAUUGGGAGUGGGACAAGGACCAGACUUCCACGGGAGGGCGCAGUGGUGAAUGUUGAACAAUGGGGGAAAGCCUGAUGCAGGCACGUCGUGAGAUUUAGAAGGUCUUCAGGAUGAAAAAAUCAUUUGUAUGGGAAGAAAAUGACAGUACCAUACGAAUAAGGACCGGCUAAUUACGUG